This 277-nucleotide ribosomal RNA is filed under the name Wolbachia endosymbiont of Howardula sp. RNAcentral's name for it is "partial 16S ribosomal RNA". It matches the Rfam family "Bacterial small subunit ribosomal RNA", at positions 401 to 697 of the family's 1533-position model. The record is from RNAcentral. Lineage: Bacteria; Pseudomonadati; Pseudomonadota; Alphaproteobacteria; Rickettsiales; Anaplasmataceae.
GAGUGAAGAAGNCCUUCGGGUUGUAAAGCUCUUUCAGUGAGGAAGAUAAUGACGGUACUCACAGAAGAAGUCCUGGCUAACUCCGUGCCAGCAGCCGCGGUAAUACGGAGAGGGCUAGCGUUAUUCGGAAUCAUUGGGCGUAAAGGGCGCGUAGGCGGAUUAGUAAGUUAAAAGUGAAAUCCCAGGGCUUAACCUUGGAACUGCUUUUAAAACUGCUUAUCUAGAGAUUGAAAGAGGAUAGAGGAAUUCCUAGUGUAGAGGUGAAAUUCGUAAAUAU